GGUUUCAUCAUUUUUUUAAGUCAUAAGAAAAACCGAGCUUUAUUACUAAAACGGUGUUUGUUUUUGGGUUAAGAAAUGAAAAGGUGGUAAAAAAAAUGAAAAAUAAUGGUGUAGAAAGAAAAAGGGUUAGUCCUAAUGCCUCCAUCAUUUACUUACUCGGGUUUAAGUUGGUAAGGACCGGGAAUGCAUUGUUGUGGCAAGUUCUAGAGUCGUAAGAACCAAGCGGCUAUUCACACAAGAAACGAAAAAUGAGCAUUUAGAGUAAAGAUAUGUAUUUGUAUGCUCAAUAAAGGCUCAAAACUCACUUUUGUGGGAAUGGGUUUUUAUGUGAUCAAGUAUAUAUAAUCAAAUUUUAACUAAGCUUGUCAUGCCGUUUCAUAAUUUUCUUAUGUUGGUUCUUUUUAUCACGACGCUAUCGGUUGUAAAUUUGUAAAAAUAUAACCUUGUUAGAACUUGAAAUUCCCAACUUAAACCUAGACAAGUAAAAAGAAAAUGAAAAAAUUUUGGAAAAAAUUUGGGGUGAUUAGCGGUUCCAAUAGAGUUUUGUGUAAGGCUUGUUAAUUAGGACUUGCAAGAUUCAAGGUUUUAGCAUCCCCCCCCCCACACUUAAAUUACAAAUUGUCCUCAAUGU
This 631-nucleotide long non-coding RNA is filed under the name Helianthus annuus (common sunflower). RNAcentral describes it as "hypothetical non coding rna". The record is from RNAcentral. Lineage: Eukaryota; Viridiplantae; Streptophyta; Magnoliopsida; Asterales; Asteraceae.